UAAGUUGCCAUGUUUUGUACUUGAUAAUUUACAAGAUGGAGACACUUUUUCUCACACCAACAAUACCUGUGUCUCACUAUUAUUAUUUUGUCCUUUGAGAAGAAUGUAGUACCAAACUUGGGGCUACAUUAAUCUUUUUAAAGGUUCUCGCAAACACAUUGCCAUAAACCUUGAUAAUGAUGAUAACUUCAAACUGGGACAGGUUCAGGAACGCUGCCAUUCUCGGAUGGAGUCAAACUAUCAUAGUAGUCCACCAAGACCUUCCAACCACCGGGGCACAUA
This 282-nucleotide unclassified non-coding RNA is filed under the name Hevea brasiliensis (rubber tree). Lineage: Eukaryota; Viridiplantae; Streptophyta; Magnoliopsida; Malpighiales; Euphorbiaceae. The record is from RNAcentral.